Molecule: ribosomal RNA, 253 nt
Filed under: uncultured bacterium
Lineage: Bacteria
Description: partial 16S ribosomal RNA
Rfam family: Bacterial small subunit ribosomal RNA
Source: RNAcentral
UACGAAGGGGGCUAGCGUUGUUCGGAAUUACUGGGCGUAAAGCGCACGUAGGCGGAUUAGUAAGUCAGGGGUGAAAUCCCGGGGCUCAACCUCGGAAUUGCCUUUGAUACUGUCUAUCUUUAGUCCGGGAGAGGUGAGUGGAAUUCCUAGUGUAGAGGUGAAAUUCGUAGAUAUUAGGAAGAACACCAGUGGCGAAGGCGGCUCACUGGCCCGGUACUGACGCUCAUGUGCGAAAGCGUGGGGAGCAAACAGG